UAGCCGUAAACGAUACUCGCUAGGUGUCGGCCACGGUGCGACCGUUGUCGGUGCCGUAGGGAAGCCGUGAAGCGAGCCACCUGGGAAGUACGGCCGCAAGGCUGAAACUUAAAGGAAUUGGCGGGGGAGCACAACAACGGGCGGAGCUUGCGGUUUAAUUGGAUUCAACGCCGGAAAUCUUACCGGGACCGACAGCAACAUGAAGGCCAAGCUGAAGACUUUGCCGGAUUAGCUGAGAGGUGGUGCAUGGCGUAGUCGUGU
This 261-nucleotide ribosomal RNA is filed under the name uncultured archaeon. RNAcentral's name for it is "partial 16S ribosomal RNA". It matches the Rfam family "Archaeal small subunit ribosomal RNA", at positions 748 to 1009 of the family's 1478-position model. The record is from RNAcentral.